AACUUCCUGGCGACAAACUUGAGGCCCCGCCACAGACAUUUACAGUAGAGGAACACGAAGAACUGGGUCACCACUCUGGAGAGGAGAAUACAGGAGGGAUUAGAUCGGAAAAAAAAGACAGAUGUCCUGUAUUACAACAGCAGGUGGUACGGAGAUGGGAUGUGGCGUCUUGUUGUCCUCUUCACUCGGCUGCUCCGGGCGUCUGCAGCUCCUCCAUGAUGACAGUCCGACUGACUGAGGCUGAGCAGCUCCGGUCUAAAAGCGACAGCGCAGCAAUGCAGCGCAGAAUACCAAACCUCCAGCAGCACAGCGACCUGGGAUCAACUCAUGGAUCAUUUCGUCUCACACUCUCCGCAGAUAAACAUCACCAGAGUCGGCAUGUGUUUAGAUUUCCCCCCAAGGACCACAUUUAACAUAGUCUCUGAAGAUAAAUGCAUGAAUUUCUCUUGCUGUUGACACUUGAAAUGACAAAUCAACCGCGAUAUCUUGCUCAACACCAUUUAAUUAAAAGAAACACCUGCGAGAGUGUUGUAAGCAGUUUUCACGGGCAAUAAAAGAUGUUCCUGAACCUCCAAAAUUUA
Molecule: long non-coding RNA, 581 nt
Organism: Acanthopagrus latus (yellowfin seabream)
Lineage: Eukaryota; Metazoa; Chordata; Actinopteri; Spariformes; Sparidae
Exons: 2
Source: RefSeq, a predicted model, not a curated record